UUCUCUCUUCCCAAGGUGAGAUGUUUGACAGUUGCUAUAAAUAGAUUGGAUUUUUGUGAAGUGUCCAAAACAGCACAAAGGGAAUAUUUAGAAGACCUUGAACAUCCGCUGAGGGAGGAGAGACAGACCGUAAGAGACGAAGACAAAAAGGGGAAAGAAUGCAUAUGCAUUCAAACCUCUUGAUGACAUGAUGACUCGUUUUUUUCCUUGCUGUCCUGUCCAGGGCUGUCAUUGAUGGUAUCAGCUGUUCUCAUCAGCUGGUUACAUCAGCUCUCAUCUAUCCAAUAGCUCAGCGACACACCCACAUUGUUAGCCUAUCAUCCUUCUGCUGCCUCUGUUCAAAUAUGAUUCUCUCCAUGCCUCUGGUACAUUAAUGCUGAUGUUGAGAGUAUGGUGUGUUAACAGCUGUU
Long non-coding RNA from Etheostoma cragini (Arkansas darter), 410 nucleotides. RefSeq lists it as uncharacterized. The record is from RefSeq and is a predicted model, not a curated record. The transcript is spliced from 3 exons. NCBI's taxonomy places the organism in Eukaryota, Metazoa, Chordata, Actinopteri, Perciformes, Percidae.